GGCCAGCAGCUGCUGCAGGGAGGGGGCUGCUUCUCCCCAGUGUCGGAGCUCAUCGGGCGGGCAGAGGCCGCCGCGUCGGCGGACGCCUCGGAGAUCUCGGAGACGUCCUCCGCCGCCGCCGAUGCACUCAGCUCUGUCAUCGCGGCCAUGGUGCGCGCGCCGCCCAAGGACUUCCGCGUCAUCAGGCAGGAGUGGGCGGCCAUCCACAUCCAGACCACCUUCCGCGGCUUCCUGAUUCCAUUUGACUCUGGUUGUUACCGCUACAGUUUGUUGUUGGAUGAUGUAAGUUCUGAUCUGUUUUACCCAUGUGCAUAUUUGGUUUCUCCUUUAUUCUUAUGCUUAUAUUGCCCCAUCAAAUGUGUAAUUUGUUGCCCGCAACUGACACGUAAAUGCUCUCUCAGGUGUCGGAGCAGCAGCGAGCAA
RNAcentral lists this ribosomal RNA (423 nucleotides) under Triticum aestivum (bread wheat). Its description in RNAcentral is "partial small subunit ribosomal RNA". The record is from RNAcentral. Lineage: Eukaryota; Viridiplantae; Streptophyta; Magnoliopsida; Poales; Poaceae.